RNAcentral lists this ribosomal RNA (303 nucleotides) under uncultured bacterium. Its description in RNAcentral is "partial 16S ribosomal RNA". It matches the Rfam family "Bacterial small subunit ribosomal RNA", at positions 507 to 807 of the family's 1533-position model. The record is from RNAcentral.
AGCAGUCGCCACGGUAAUACGGAGGGUGCAAGCGUUACUCGGAAUCACUGGGCGUAAAGGACGCGUAGGCGGAUUAUCAAGUCUCUUGUGAAAUCUAACGGCUUAACCGUUAAACUGCUUGGGAAACUGAUAAUCUAGAGUAAGGGAGAGGCAGAUGGAAUUCUUGGUGUAGGGGUAAAAUCCGUAGAUAUCAAGAAGAAUACCUAUUGCGAAGGCGAUCUGCUGGAACUUAACUGACGCUAAUGCGUGAAAGCGUGGGGAGCAAACAGGAUUAGAUACCCCCGUAGUCCCUGUCUCUUAUAC